CAAGUCGCGUGCGCAGUUGCCGUAGCAAUACGGUGAUGGGCGCACGGCGCACGGGUGCGUAACACGUGGGCAAUCUGCCCUCCGAUGGGGAAUAACCCCGCGAAAGCGGGGCUAAUACCGCAUAACAUUCCUUGAGCGAUGGUUCGAGGAUUCAAAGCAGUAAUGCGUCGGAGGAGGAGCCCGCGCCCGAUUAGCUAGUUGGUGAGGUAACGGCUCACCAAGGCAAUGAUCGGUAGCUGGUCUGAGAGGAUGAUCAGCCACACUGGAACUGAGACACGGUCCAGACUCCUACGGGAGGCAGCAGUGGGGAAUCUUGCACAAUGGGCGAAAGCCUGAUGCAGCGACGCCGCGUGGGGGAUGAAGCUUUUCGGAGUGUAAACCCCUUUCGCCUGGGACGAAUGCCCGCAAGGGAGUGACGGUACCAGGAUAAGAAGCCCCGGCUAACUACGUGCCAGCAGCCGCGGUAAGACGUAGGGGGCCAGCGUUGUUCGGAAUUACUGGGUGUAAAGGGUUCGUAGGCGGUGUGGCAAGUCGGGAGUGAAAUCUCUGGGCUCAACCCAGAGGCUGCUUCCGAAGCUGCUGUGCUUGAGUGUGAGAGAGGCUCGUGGAAUUGCAGGUGUAGCGGUGAAAUGCGUAGAUAUCUGCAGGAACACCCGUGCGAAAGCGGCGAGCUGGAUCACUACUGACGCUGAGGAACGAAAGCUAGGGGAGCAAACAGGAUUAGAUACCCUGGUAGUCCUAGCCCUAAACGAUCAGGACUUGGGGUGCCGCCCGUUCGGGCGUCGUCCCGGAGCUAACGCGUUAAGUCCUGCACCUGGGGAGUACGGUCGCAAGACUGAAACUCAAAGG
Molecule: ribosomal RNA, 849 nt
Filed under: uncultured Bacteroidota bacterium
Lineage: Bacteria; Pseudomonadati; Bacteroidota
Description: bacterial SSU rRNA
Rfam family: Bacterial small subunit ribosomal RNA
Source: RNAcentral